This 1764-nucleotide ribosomal RNA is filed under the name Triticum aestivum (bread wheat). Its description in RNAcentral is "partial small subunit ribosomal RNA". The record is from RNAcentral. Lineage: Eukaryota; Viridiplantae; Streptophyta; Magnoliopsida; Poales; Poaceae.
AUGAGUGGACCAGUGGAUGGACGCACAGAGAAGGAGCCACUGGCCGUAGUGAUUGUGUAUGCAUUUGACUGCACCACAUCGACCCCGGACUGGUACAAGGUAGACAAUGUGUUUUGGUUGGUGCAAGAGAAGCUCACCCGCAUCAGGGGUAGCAGCCUCGGCUACACAUACGUCAUGUCAACCCCUAAUACUUACACGUCGGAUAUGAAAUUAGUUGACUCUGCUGAGAUAAACGGAAAUGGCUACAAAAGUAGCCCGUCCUGGAAAAGGACUGCCUGUGUCAAAAAUAUGACAUCUGGACUCUAUGAAGCACAUAGACUAAUCAAUGAAAACGGGAACAUGAAUGCAAUCAUCUUGUUAUUUUCUGAUGGGUUGGUUAACAAGGGCGACUUCUUUGAUGGAGCUGAGGACUUCCUCUCCAGUGUGCCCGUCUACACGUUUACCCUUGGCGGAAAUGCAUAUAACCAGGGUCUUCGCACCAUCGCAGCAAAUUCCCCAGGUGGGAUGUUCAGCCCCCUCCCUCUUCCAGACUUUCCAAGCCUAUCUGCGCCCUUCUCCCAACUCUUGGAUAACAUCCUUAAUGAUACCACGAUGCACAGUGAGAAGAAUCCUAGUCCCACUUCCGGGAGGUGGCCGUUAAAUGUAGUGAUUGUGUCAGCAUUUGAUUGCACCACCUCGACCCCAGCUUGGAACAAGGUGAAUCGUGAGGUCUAUUGGUUGGUGCAAAAGAAGCUAACCCAAUUUGUUCAUAGUUGCCUUGGCUACACAUAUGUCAUGUCCACCCCAAACACGUACACAUCUGAGAUGAAACUGGUUGACCCCAUGGAGAUAGAGGCAAGUGGGUACCCAAGAAGCUCAGCCUGGCGAAGGGAUGCUUGCACGAACAACAUGGCAGCUGGUCUCAUCGAGGCACACAGACUGAUCAGCGAGCACGGGCACCUGAAUGGCAUCAUCUUGCUCUUCUCUGAUGGGUUGAUUAACAAGGGCGACUUCUUUGAUGGAGUUCAGGGCUUCAUCUCCAAAGUUCCAGUUCACACAUUUACUCUUGGCGGAGAUGCAUAUAACCAAGAUCUUUUCACCAUCGCAAUAAAUUCACCGGGAGGCACGUUUCACACCCUCCCUGUCCCGGAAAAACCGAGUCUAUCGGUGCCUUUUUUGAGGCUGGUGGAUACCAUCCUCAGUGGCGCAGGGAAGUGGCCACUAGACGUGGUGAUUGUGUAUGCAUUUGACAGUACCACCUCAACCCCAGAUUAUAAAACUGUGGACAAUAUCUUUUGGUUGGUGCAAGAGAAGCUCAUCCGUCUCGUGGAUAGCUGCCUUGGUUACACUUAUGUCAUGUCAACCCCGAACACGUGCACGUCUGAUAGGAAAAUAGUUGAUUCGACCGAUACAGAGUUAAAAGGCUACAAAAGAAGCCCGUCCUGGAGACGGUCCGCCUGCACGAAGAACAUGGCGUCUGGCCUCUUCGAGGCCCACAAACUGAUCAGCUACCGUGGACACUGGAAUAGCAUCAUCUUGCUCUUCUCCGAUGGGCUGAUCAACAAAGGAGACUACUUUGAUGGAGCCGAGGACUUCGUCUCCAAAGUACCUGUCCACACGUUUACUCUCGGCGGAGACGCGAACAACCACGUUCUUCAUGCCAUGGCAAAGAAUUCCCCUGGUGGGAUGUUUCACCCCCUCCAGGUCCCUGAUAAGCCGAAUCUACCAGCACCCUUCUCGCAACUGCUGGACAACAUCCUCAACGGUACCACGAGAUCCACCUAG